CCGGCAUCACUGGAGUGGUGGCGCAGCUGUUUCCUCCGGAUAUCCAUCAAAUAUACUGGAGCAAAGCAUUCUAAGUUGCUGCUCAGAACGUAAAGAUGCAAACCCCAAAUCAGUGGUUUAUUCAUUCUUCAUGCAAAAGCAAUGCGCUAAAGGAGAGAAGUAAGCUGUGGUGAUCAGUGACUUUGGUGAAGGCUAAGAAGGUUCAAACAAAUUUGCAAAUGAUAUACAACUUCUAAGGUAAGCUACUAUGAUGACUCAAUCAAGAUUUUAAGUGCUCUUGACAGACCU
This 288-nucleotide long non-coding RNA is filed under the name Theropithecus gelada (gelada). RNAcentral describes it as "lncRNA (ENSTGEG00000003987.1)". The record is from RNAcentral. Lineage: Eukaryota; Metazoa; Chordata; Mammalia; Primates; Cercopithecidae.